Oncorhynchus tshawytscha (Chinook salmon) is the source of this 605-nucleotide long non-coding RNA. Lineage: Eukaryota; Metazoa; Chordata; Actinopteri; Salmoniformes; Salmonidae. The record is from Ensembl.
CUGCAUCUGGGUCUCGCCCUGUGCCUUUUAUACAGAAAUUAUUGGUAUGUGCUGUCUGGCACUGGUCAAGUAGCCAUUGACUUUGGACUGUGACCCUGAACCUGUACUCCUGAGGUUCUCCAGGAUGGUAGGGUGAGGGGCUGACAUGAUGGAACAUGAUUGAGGAGGCACAAUAUCAGAUGUCACUUUUCCAUUUGGAGAGGGGAUGUCUGGCUGAGGAAGAAGUAGUAUCUCUGUGUCUGAUGAGGGAGAGGAGGCUUUCUAUAUGCCUGAAAGGAGACCCUCCCUGGACCUGGGCAAUGGCCUGAGACCCAUGUACACGGCGCAUGUCACGUGUCCACAGUAAUGUUUCCUGUUUGAUGAUCCUUUCAUCAUCCAUCCUCAAUCAUUGAUAUUUGGUGUGUGUUUAGUAGGCAUGAAAAGGAAAAGGGCUCGAUCAUUGUCCAUGUGAUGUUCUAUGUACAGAGUCCAGCAGCAAAGAACAGAGUCGUACUCCAGCUGCUACUCUGUGGACAGUUGACUGUGAGAUCAAAUCAAAUUUUAUUUGUCACAUACACAUGGUUAGCAGAUGUUAAUGCGAGUGUAGCGAAAUGCUUGUAACCAGA